Long non-coding RNA from Acanthochromis polyacanthus (spiny chromis), 519 nucleotides. RefSeq lists it as uncharacterized. The record is from RefSeq and is a predicted model, not a curated record. The transcript has 3 exons. Lineage: Eukaryota; Metazoa; Chordata; Actinopteri; Pomacentridae.
AGGCAGACGGUUCCUCCCCGAGGCUCCGCUAUCGACAGCUGGGGACCUAUCGGACCUUUGGCCUCGAAGCCUGAAGCCAAACCGAGCUAAAAACAUCAACAGCAGCCGGCUAGUCGAGACGAACAACUGGCUGGUAGGAGGAUAACGUGGAUUUAAACCUGCCAGUGGAUCGUAGGGUUCAGGAGGUUAAAACGUCUGAUGUGAAUCUGGUUGGAGGAGCAGCAGGAGAAACGUUGGAAGUGCAGCUGACACAACAACAACAACAACAACAACAAGAAGCUUCCUUCCAGCUUCUGUUUGCUCCAUUUGGUCCCGAUAAUCAACAAACACACUAACCUGAGACUGAAUAUCGUCAAUUCAUGGAGAGUUCCUCUGGCUGCUCCUCACAAUAACAACAACAACAACGACAACAACAACAACACAUCCUCUCCAGUAAACUCCCCUUGAGGCUGUGUAUCGACUGUCUGCCUCCUGAAUGAGCUCUAUGAAGCAGAACAUCACUGGUUCUGAAGCAACCAC